This 574-nucleotide long non-coding RNA is filed under the name Eucalyptus grandis. Its description in RNAcentral is "long non-coding RNA (EGRA_LNC002875)". The record is from RNAcentral. Lineage: Eukaryota; Viridiplantae; Streptophyta; Magnoliopsida; Myrtales; Myrtaceae.
GGGGAGACCCCGAUCUUCACGGAGUAUUUCCUGGAAAAGAAAAAAAGCAUUCCCCACCCUCGCUCCUGAAACACUCGACCAGUCACCUCCACCAUCUCCGUCCGACUACCUCCUGCCGGCGUCUGCUCUCCACAUUCCAUUCCCGGAAUCCUACCUCACCUACUUCUCUUUUCCCCCUCCGGCUUCCUCACCUUCCGCGUCCAGUCCGACUGCUCGUCCUCUUGCCUGACGUCGAUGGCGACUCCGCAAACUCGAGGACAUCACCAGCCACCGACGUCCGACGACCCAUCCCGGGCGUCUUUAGUCUCACGAAAAAGAAAACAAGAAGCGUCUCGGUGUUUCUCUCCUCGGGGCACGGUCGCCAUUGAAGUUCCAAACAAAACUCGAAGCCAAAGCCGAUCCACGUCGUCCACCACCUCCAGAACAUUGUCUGCUCGUUGCCAUUCGUCGUCGCCGUUCCUGACCUCGGCGGAGUCGACUGGAGCCAGACACGAGUUUGGAGCCUGUAAUACUUGGACUCUUCGACCAAGUGAAAGAAGUGAUGGGACCUAUAAAAAAAAAAGGAAGAGAAAAU